This 654-nucleotide long non-coding RNA is filed under the name Pan troglodytes (chimpanzee). RNAcentral describes it as "long non-coding RNA NONPTRT005266". The record is from RNAcentral. Lineage: Eukaryota; Metazoa; Chordata; Mammalia; Primates; Hominidae.
UCAGCAAGCGGUGCCCAACAUGGGGGCUUGAACCCAGGAUGAAGAGUCGCUGGAGCGAUGGUUGGAGAACGUGGAAGUAAGCUGGAGAACACCCGAGUACUCUUAAGCAAUCCCCGUGGCAAAAUACUACACCAGGGAUGUAAUACCUACAAGGCGGUCUUCCUGAAAUGCCUGCCCGGAACAGAAUGCUGGGAUGCACUCAACUGUGAAUUUUUCUUGAGGUCUUCCUUUCCUUCAUCUGGAUAAAGUGGAGCCCAGCCCUCCUGUGUCAGUGAGACUGGAAGCCUCUGGGGGCCAUGUGCUCUGCCCUCUGCCAUCUCUGCUCAUUGUUCCCCCAUGUUCACACCUGCCUGCAUUAACUAGGAGCAGUCACACGUUUGUACUCAGUGCACAGUCAUACAUGUUGAAGAAAACAAAUCAUACUGCUUGUUCUUAAAAAUGAGAUGAAAAAAUAAAUCUAAACACACUUUUCAAGUGUUACUCUUCUUUAAACUUUUAUAUAUGUUAAGGCUCUUCUUUUUCUUUUCAAUAUACUCUACUUAGAACUUUAAAAAAUAAACUUUCUUUUUUGGUACCUCUUGUUUCCUGUAUUAGCCUGGGAAACAUUUAGAAAUACAUCUCCCUAGAACUCUUCUGUGCAAAUAAUAAACAUAA